AGGGCGUACGGCGGAUGCCUUGGCGAUAUCAGCCGAAGAAGGACGCGAUAAGCUGCGAUAAGCUGCGGUGAGGUGCAAGUAACCAGUGACCCGCAGAUUUCCGAAUGGGGAAACCCGGCAGUAGUAGUACUGUCACCUCUCUUUGAGAGGAGGGCACCCGGUGAACUGAAACAUCUAAGUAGCCGGAGGAAGAGGAAUCAAAAGAGAUGCCCCCAGUAGCGGCGAGCGAAGCGGGCAAAGCCCAAACCGGAGCGGGAAACCGCACCGGGGUUGAGGACUACCAACAAGUACCUAGAUGAAGUCGAAUCAGGUGGGAACCUGAGCCAGAGACGGUGAGAGCCCGGUAGACGUAAAGAAGGGUAUGGGGUAGUAUCCAGAGUACCACGGGGCACGAGGAACCUUGUGGGAAGCAGGGGGGACCACCCUCCAAGGCGAAAUACUGAUAUGGACCGAUAGCGCAUAGUACCGUGAGGGAAAGGUGAAAAGAACCCCGGGAGGGGAAUGAAAGAGAACCUGAAACCGUAUGUCUACAAGCAGUCGAAGCACCGUAUGCGUGCGACGGCGUGCCUAUUGAAGAAUGAACCGGCGAGUUAUUUCAUCCGGCGAGGUUAAGCGGAAAACGCGGAGCCGAAGCGAAAGCGAGUCUGAACAGGGCGAUAAGUCGGAUGGAAUAGACCCGAAACCACAGUGAUCUAUCCAUGCCCAGGUUGAAGCACAGGUAAAAAUGUGUGGAGGACCGAACCAGUGAGCGUUGAAAAGCUUUUGGAUGAGGUGUGGAUAGGGGUGAAAUGCCAAUCGAACGUGGAGAUAGCUGGUUCUCCCCGAAAUAGCUUUAGGGCUAGCCUCAUGGCAAGAGUGCAGGCGGUAGAGCACUGAACAGGGUAGGGGCCUAUCCGGCUACCGAACCUAAUCAAACUACGAAUGGCUGUACUUAUCCAUGGGAGUCAGACUGCGAGUGAUAAGACCCGUAUUCAAGAGGGAAACAGCCCAGACCAACAGCUAAGGUCCCCAAUGCCGUACUAAGUGGUAAAGGAUGUGGAGUUUCGAAAACAACCAGGAUGUUGGCUUAGAAGCAGCCACCAUUAAAAGAGUGCGUAAUAGCUCACUGGUCGAGAGACUCUGCGCCGAAGAUGACCGGGGCUAAAGUACGGAACCGAAGCUUUGGCAUGUAUGAAAAUACAUGGGUAGGGGAGCGUUCCUGCAUGGGCGAAGCCUGACCGGAAGGACAGGUGGACAGGCAGGAAGUGAGAAUGCCGGUAUGAGUAGCGAAAAGAAAGGUGAGAAUCCUUUCCACCGAAAGCCUAAGGGUUCCUGGGCAACGAUCGUCGACCCAGGGUAAGUCGGGACCUAAUCCGAGGCGAAGACGCAUAGGAGAUGGACAACAGGUUGAAAUUCCUGUACCGACGUCGUCUGUUUGAGCGAUGGAGUGACACAAGAAGGAAAGUUCGCAUGCGAUUGGAAGAGCAUGUCUAAGCAGGUAGGUUGAAUACCAGGCAAAUCCGGUAUUCUAAAAGCCGAGAAGUGAUAGGGAGCCUGUAGAGAUACAGGUGAAGGAACCGGGACUCAAUUGUCAAGAAAAGCUUCUAGUGAGGACGACGCCGCCCGUACCAAAACCGACACAGGUAGGCAAGAAGAGAAUUCUAAGGUGCGCGGGAAAACCCUCGUUAAGGAACUCGGCAAAAUGUAUCCGUAACUUCGGGAAAAGGAUAGCCGGAGCUUGUGAAAGCCUACACGGCUGGAGCGAGAGCCGGUGGCACAAGAGAGGCCCAGGCGACUGUUUAGCACAAACACAGGUACUUGCGAAAGAGAAAUCUGAAGUAUAAGCGCUGACGCCUGCCCGGUGCUGGAAGGUUAAGGAAAGAGGUCAAGAGCAAUCUGAAGCUUCGAACUGAAGCCCCAGUGAACGGCGGCCGUAACUAUAACGGUCCUAAGGUAGCGAAAUUCCUUGUCGGGUAAGUUCCGACCCGCACGAAAGGCGUAACGAUUUGGGCACUGUCUCAACGAGGGACCCGGUGAAAUUGAAAUACCUGUGAAGAUGCAGGUUACCCGCGACUGGACAGAAAGACCCCAUGGAGCUUUACUGCAGCCUGGCAUUGAUUUUUGGGAAAGGAUGUACAGGAUAGGUGGGAGACUGGGAAAGUGAGACGCAAGUCACACUGGAGUCAAUGUUGGGAUACCACCCUUCCUUUUCUAAGGACCUAACCGAAGGGGUAACGACCCUCGAGACAGUGCCAGGGGGACAGUUUGACUGGGGCGGUCGCCUCCGAAAGAGCAACGGAGGCGUCCCAAGGUUCCCUCAGCGCGGCCGGAAAUCGCGCGAAGAGUAUAAAGGCAGAAGGGAGCUUGACUGCGAGACGGACAGGUCGAGCAGGUGCGAAAGCAGGGCUUAGUGAUCCGGUGGAAAGAAAGUGGAAUUGCCAUCGCUCAACGGAUAAAAGCUACCCUGGGGAUAACAGGCUAAUCUCUCCCAAGAGUCCAUAUCGACGGGGAGGUUUGGCACCUCGAUGUCGGCUCAUCACAUCCUGGGGCUGAAGCAGGUCCCAAGGGUUGGGCUGUUCGCCCAUUAAAGUGGUACGUGAGCUGGGUUCAGAACGUCGUGAGACAGUUCGGUCCAUAUCCAUCGCGGGCGCAAGAAACAUGAAGGGAUCUGCUCUUAGUACGAGAGGACCGGAGUGGACGGACCGACGGUGUACCGGUUAUGGCGCCAGCCGUAGAGCCGGGUAGCUGCGUCCGGAAGGGAUAAACGCUGAAAGCAUCUAAGCGUGAAACCCACCCUGAGAUGAAGUUUCU
RNAcentral lists this ribosomal RNA (2790 nucleotides) under human oral metagenome. Its description in RNAcentral is "bacterial LSU rRNA". It matches the Rfam family "Bacterial large subunit ribosomal RNA". The record is from RNAcentral.